Non-coding RNA from Oryctolagus cuniculus (rabbit), 3115 nucleotides. Lineage: Eukaryota; Metazoa; Chordata; Mammalia; Lagomorpha; Leporidae. The record is from RefSeq and is a predicted model, not a curated record.
GAUAUGUUUACAAAUUCAACAUUUUAUUAAAUUGAUAUUACAUUCAAGGGCCCAUCAAAUUUCUUGGAAAUGCAUAGUAUGAAAAGAUCACACAAGGAUUUCCAAAAUCUGUGGCCCUUAAAUAAACUUAUUUUUAAUUUCAUUUCCAUGAAUUUUUAAGUGCCCUGAUACAUGAAAAACUAAGCUGUGAAUCAAAGGACAGCCUUUUUACACAGAGUGAAUUGUUGGUGUUUAUUGUGUAAUAGAUCAGAAAUAGAAAUAUGUUUUCUAAAUUUUACAUUUGUAUCCCAUCUGUUUACUGCCAGUAAAUGAUACUUGCUUUGCUCCAGAUUUUCAAUUUCAAGGAACUUAUAUUUCUACAUAAAGAAUUUCUACAUAAAGAUAAGGUUCCAGGGGUGACGUGGUCAGCAAUAGGACUGACUCCAAUGGCAGCAGCAGACUUUAAUAUAGCACUCGUUCCUUGUCUCUGGAGGAUAUGACACUGCUAUCAAUGCAGUUUCCAGUGGUAACGAGGACAGGAAUUGCCAGCAGAGAGGCUUCUUCCAAGUCCUCCUCUGACAUCAGCCCUCAGAUGAACUCCAGGAUUAACCAUGAAGGAGAAGAGAAACAGCAUGCAAAAGCAGGUCGACUUUAUCCAUAAAUAAGGAAACAGGAUUGAUCAAGCUCCAGAACCAGCAACCUCUGUCACAAUUUACUCCAUGAACACCAUCUACCUGCUUCAUUCUUCAGUUCCAUGAAUAUUGAAAAUUCACCCCUUCACCAGGGAGAAAACCUAAAACAUUUAGUAGUGAAGUCAACCAUGGCCCAGGAACUCCAGGAGAAUGUGAAAUAAUCUCUGCCACAUAGUUGGAAUACAGUUCACCUUGGCCUGAUCAAUCUAUGAUCUAAUGAGCCUUCAACCUUAGUCUUACCAACAUACUAUUGUGUAUAAGGAAAUGAUGAACAUCAUGAAAUCUUUUAAGCUGAAAAGAGAUGUGAAGAUUUUUUAGCAAUCGCAAGUAAUCGUUGGACUCUUGUGGUGCAAACAUGAGGUCCCCACCUUGGUAGUGGGGGUACUAUGUCAGUAAGUUAUUUAUGUUCUUUGAGAAUAGCUCUCUUUUCAUUUUUUCUCAAACCUGGUCUUGUCCUUUAAGGAGGUGAGUGAGACUUCUUUGACCACAUCUGAAAUGUGUUGCAUGAUGUAGAUCUUUUUAACACAAGUGUUUUUGAAGCUAGAUUCAUGGGUACUUCAGCUAUAUAAAUCCCCUCAGAACAUAAUGGGGUUUGUAAUCUACUUUUCCUCAGUCAGUUCUUUGUGCCCAUAACCAUAUGCCACUAUUUCAAGGGCCAUGUUUCUUAAAUCUGCACCAUUUCCUUGCAUAAUUUCCCAGUAUUUAUUGCUCUUGAUUAAUGUCUGCUAUCGAUAGCCUAUCUACUUUGAGAUGAAAGACUUAAAAGUCCAGGUUUUAAUAGACCUUUGUUGUUUUCUCAAACUUGUUUUCUUCUCCUUUUAUUUAAAACACAAAUUUUCUGAGACUUCAAUACCACAAAUUCUUAGAAUCCUUUCUCCUCUGGAUUACUUUAUUUUACUAUGUCUAAUACCUUUAAAUUCACUUCUUUUUUUUUUUAUUUAUUUAUUUGACAGGUAGAGUUACAGACAGUGAGGGAGAGAGAGAGACAGAGAGAAAAGUCUUCCUUCCGUUGGUUCACUCCCCAAAUGGCCACUUGGGCCGGGGCUGUGCCUAUCUGAAGCCAGGAUCCGGGUUCUUCUUCCUGGUCUCCCAUGCAGGUGCAGGGGCCCAAGCACUUGAGCCAUCCUCCACUGCCUUCCCGGGCCACAGCAGAGAGCUGGACUGGAAGAGGAGCAACCUGGACUAGAACCUGGCGCCCAUAUGGGUUGCCGGUGCCGCAGGAGGAUUAUGAGCCAUGGUGCCAGCCUCUAAAUUCACUUCUAUAUUUAUAACACAUAUUAAAAUUUUCAUUCUUUUCAAUUACUUGCCCUAGAGCACUUGGCAUGAACUUCCUUCCAUGUCAUGGUAGGUUAUGGGAUUACCAAUGGUUUUGUGCCACUGUUAUGGAUCAUCAGCUUUAUACAAGAACUCUUUGGGACAAAGUCAGCUUAGGGAUUGCUCUUCUUCCAAUCUGAUAUUUCAUCCACAAUUAUCUGUCUCAGGGAAAGACACAAAGCAUUCACUAAAAUACCCAAGAACAAACUCAGGGAAUCUUAACUCUUACUGCUCUUACAUACCAACUCUUAUUAAUCAUAAAGACCAUUUUAUCAUACUUGAAUAUUUCUUGAAACUACUUACUUCCUUUAUCUUCGCUGUAGCUUCCUCCUAACUGGAAGGAUUAAGUUCUGACUCCACUGCUCAAAAAACAUUCAAAUAAGAGCACAUUCUUGUUCCUCAAAAUUCCUCCUAUUAACCCCAAGAUAAAUUAAAAAUGUUCAGUAAAGUAUUUAAAUUAUUUUUAUUUGUCCAGACUGCACUACUUGCAUCCAUAGUUAUUAUUCCCAAAAUUGCAUCCCAACCAUGGGCCAACUCCAGAGGCUGAGUUUUCUCUUUUUCUUUUGUUCCCAUAACACUGUCUAUCCCUCCAUAUUUCUACAGUUUCUUUUUAUUUUUCUCUUGUUGUCUCCCCAAUAAAACUUGAUCUUUGAGGACAUCUGCAAUGUUUUAUUUUUUCCUUUAAUCGCUAGUCUUUGAUAUAUUCCAAGGCACAGUAGAGGCACUUGUUUACCACUUGAUGAAUGAAGGAGUGGAAGCAUAUAUUAGAUAAUAAGCAGCCUCCAUCCACCUCCAUCAUUCAUACAAGUAGUUCAGAGAGCACUGAAUAUCUUUCUAAUGCAGGGUUCUUUACAAGAAUCUACCAAUGGCCCAGAUGCACUACUGUCUAAUGCACAUCUUGUCCGGAGACAAGAUUUAGGCAUCUCAAAAUCUCAAGAAUAUUUUAAGUAUAUAUUAAAUCUUGUAUCAUUAUAUCAGUGCAUAACAAUAUAUUUAUGGGAAUAAGAACUUCAUGGAAGAAUCUGCUAGCAGCAGUAGAGAGACAUUUUUGUCAUUAUUCAAUUAUGUUAAAGAAAAGGGAAAAUAGAUAAGACUCCAGUACCCAAAAACCAAAGGUUUACCUACUUUCU